AGCCAUGCAUGUCUAAGUAUAAGCAAUUAUACAGCGAAACUGCGAAUGGCUCAUUAUAUAAGUUAUCGUUUAUUUGAUAGUACCUUACUACUUGGAUAACCGUGGUAAUUCUAGAGCUAAUACAUGCUAAAAAUCCCGACUUCGGAAGGGAUGUAUUUAUUAGAUUAAAAACCAAUGCCCUCUGGGCUCCUUGGUGAUUCAUAAUAACUUUUCGAAUCGCAUGGCCUUGCGCCGGCGAUGGUUCAUUCAAAUUUCUUCCCUAUCAACUUUCGAUGUUUGGGUAUUGGCCAAACAUGGUCGCAACGGGUAACGGAGGGUUAGGGCUCGACCCCGGAGAAGGAGCCUGAGAAACGGCUACUACAUCCAAGGAAGGCAGCAGGCGCGCAAAUUACCCAAUCCCGAUUCGGGGAGGUAGUGACAAUAAAUACUGAUACAGGGCUCUUUUGGGUCUUGUAAUUGGAAUGAGUACAAUUUAAAUCCCUUAACGAGGAACAAUUGGAGGGCAAGUCUGGUGCCAGCAGCCGCGGUAAUUCCAGCUCCAAUAGCGUAUAUUAAAGUUGUUGUGGUUAAAAAGCUCGUAGUUGAACCUUGGGCCUGGCUGGCCGGUCCGCCUCACCGCGUGUACUGGUCCGGCCGGGCCUUUCCCUCUGUGGAACCUCAUGCCCUUCACUGGGUGUGGCGGGGAAACAGGACUUUUACUUUGAAAAAAUUAGAGUGCUCCAGGCAGGCCUAUGCUCGAAUACAUUAGCAUGGAAUAAUGAAAUAGGACGUGUGGUUCUAUUUUGUUGGUUUCUAGGACCGCCGUAAUGAUUAAUAGGGACAGUCGGGGGCAUCAGUAUUCAAUUGUCAGAGGUGAAAUUCUUGGAUUUAUUGAAGACUAACUACUGCGAAAGCAUUUGCCAAGGAUGUUUUCAUUAAUCAGGAACGAAAGUUAGGGGAUCGAAGACGAUCAGAUACCGUCGUAGUCUUAACCAUAAACUAUGCCGACUAGGG
This 993-nucleotide ribosomal RNA is filed under the name Samsoniella hepiali. Its description in RNAcentral is "SSU rRNA". It matches the Rfam family "Eukaryotic small subunit ribosomal RNA", at positions 47 to 1051 of the family's 1831-position model. The record is from RNAcentral. Lineage: Eukaryota; Fungi; Ascomycota; Sordariomycetes; Hypocreales; Cordycipitaceae.